This 1026-nucleotide ribosomal RNA is filed under the name Triticum aestivum (bread wheat). RNAcentral's name for it is "partial small subunit ribosomal RNA". The record is from RNAcentral. Lineage: Eukaryota; Viridiplantae; Streptophyta; Magnoliopsida; Poales; Poaceae.
AUGCCAAGUCUGAGUGCUUCGCUUUUCUACAAAGAGGUUGACUUGCUGCAGCCUAUUGCUUUCGACAAGGUAUUUGACCUAAACAAGUUCAAUGCCCGCUGUCAUGGGUUUGUAAGAGUAGCUCGGUAUUCAGAAGUUUCGAAUCGUACCGAGCCUUUCAAACUUCAAAAGGGCAGUGGUAGGAGGUGGACAGUGGAGAGAGAUUUGGAUCAACUGCAACAAUCCAGAUUGGGGGAGGCCGAUGGCUUUGAAGUGAUUCAUGUCACUGGGAAGCAUCCAUUUCUAUGGCCUGAUCAUUGGCCAGUGAAAGACUAUGCCAGGAUCUUUGAUUGCCUUGCUGUAGCUCCUGAGAUAGAAACUGAAGUUGUCAGGGUCAUAUCCAAGAUUAAAGAUGCAGGGAAAAAAGCAAGACAUGAUGCUGCCGUUUCUCAUAAUAAGAAGAGGAUAGAUGGUUUGAAAAAUCUUCCUGUGCAGUACAUUGCUGUUCACAUGAGAAUAGAGAAAGAUUGGAUGAUUCAUUGCAAGAAGUGGGAGCAGCGGUCCAAUUUAAAGGAAAUUUGCAGCAGCAAAGGAGAGAUCAUUCAUAAGGUCUCACAGAUCACUGACCUACGUCGCCCGGUUGUAGUUUAUCUUGCAGUAGCCGACAGCCUUCUAGAAGAUAAUUCAGUAACCAGUGGUUGGAGAGUUGGUAUGGUUGCUUAUGAGAAGAAGAAACUUGGAGUUACUGACAUAUAUGAGAAGCAGCCUUACCUUAUAAAGUCUGCCAUCGACUUUGAGGUAUGCGCAAGAGCGGAUGUGUUUGUUGGCAAUAGUUUCUCAACAUUUUCCAACCUUGUAGUAUUGUCUAGAACAGAAAGGUUAUACAAGUUAGGGAAGGCAAGCUCAUGUGGUGAGGAUGUUGGGCUGUCGUCCUAUGCGUACAAUGUCAUCGGAGAUGAUGGCGGGCCACAGAAAUGGAUGACAGAUAUGUUGGACACAAGCCUUCAGCGCAUAAGUUAUGGAACAAAUAACGUCUCCUGCCACUGA